UCACAAUCCAUCACAAAAACUUUAUGGCAUUCUAAAAUAGAAACACAAUAUUACUUACUCCGGUACUUUUUAUCAGGUGAAGAAGCUCAGCUCAGAAGAGGAAUCGACAACGGGGAUUGCCAAAAUUCAGCAUCCCAUAUAAUUAACUGCUAUUGGGCUUGCUAGGAAAAUAUUGUGGAAAGACUUCAAAAAAGGCAUGUGAGUCGCAACAAAGUAGACUCCAGCAUUCCUGCAAGUUUCAGUGCCGACUUUUCCAGCGUGGCAAGGGCUCAUUUGCUUUGCAUUAUGAACCAUAUGAAAAUAAUCCUAGAAAUGUAUCUCUGCCUUAUCCUCGCAUUAGAAUUUUAUCAGACCAUCCACAGCCUUACAAGGGAGCGAAGGAAACUAAUGUGGAGGCUAAAAAACAAGAUUCAGUUGCUGGUCGAAGGCAAGCUGCCAUGCUGGACCGCUUCCACAAACGAGAAAGACAACGUAUAUGGAAAGCAUUGUUGACUUGCUUCAUGGUG
Long non-coding RNA from Salvia splendens (bonfire salvia), 506 nucleotides. RefSeq lists it as uncharacterized. NCBI's taxonomy places the organism in Eukaryota, Viridiplantae, Streptophyta, Magnoliopsida, Lamiales, Lamiaceae. The transcript has 3 exons. The record is from RefSeq and is a predicted model, not a curated record.